GAUUUGUCUGGUUUAUUCCGAUAACGAGCGAGACUCUAGCCUACUAACUAGUUCACACAUUGCCUCUGUGUGUGCAACUUCUUAGAGGGAUUUUCGGUGUUUAGCCGCACGAGAUUGAGCAAUAACAGGUCUGUGAUGCCCUUAGAUGUCCGGGGCUGCACGCGCGCUACACUGGCGAAAUCAGCGUGCUUGUCCUUUCUCGAAAGAGAUUGGUAAACCAUUGAAAAUUUGCCGUGAUUGGGAUCGGAAAUUGCAAUUAUUUUCCGUAAACGAGGAAUUCCAAGUAAGUGCGAGUCAUCAACUCGCGUUGAUUACGUCCCUGCCCUUUGUA
Molecule: ribosomal RNA, 331 nt
Filed under: Tylenchina sp. G04
Lineage: Eukaryota; Metazoa; Nematoda; Chromadorea; Rhabditida
Description: SSU rRNA
Rfam family: Eukaryotic small subunit ribosomal RNA
Source: RNAcentral